This is a non-coding RNA of Phrynosoma platyrhinos (Desert horned lizard), 73 nucleotides long. NCBI's taxonomy places the organism in Eukaryota, Metazoa, Chordata, Lepidosauria, Squamata, Phrynosomatidae. The record is from the annotation of a GenBank genome assembly.
UGUAGUGUGGUAUAGUGGUUUGAAUGUUGGACUAGGACAUUGACAGACCAGGGUUCGAAUCCCUGCUUGGGUG